Molecule: ribosomal RNA, 254 nt
Filed under: uncultured bacterium
Lineage: Bacteria
Description: partial 16S ribosomal RNA
Rfam family: Bacterial small subunit ribosomal RNA
Source: RNAcentral
UACGGGGGAUGCAAGCGUUAUCCGGAUUUAUUGGGUUUAAAGGGUGCGUAGGCUGUGAGGUAAGUCAGUGGUGAAAUGCCCCCGCUCAACGGGGUGAAGUGCCAUUGAUACUGCCUUGCUGGAAUGCGGAUGCCGUGGGAGGAAUGUGUGGUGUAGCGGUGAAAUGCAUAGAUAUCACACAGAACACCGAUUGCGAAGGCAUCUCACGAAUCCGCGAUUGACGCUGAUGUACGAAAGCGUGGGUAUCAAACAGG